This 332-nucleotide ribosomal RNA is filed under the name uncultured bacterium. Its description in RNAcentral is "bacterial SSU rRNA". It matches the Rfam family "Bacterial small subunit ribosomal RNA", at positions 568 to 898 of the family's 1533-position model. The record is from RNAcentral.
CGCGUAGGCGGGAGAACAAGUCAGAUGUGAAAUGUGGGGGCUUAACCCUCAAGCUGCAUUUGAAACUGUACUUCUUGAGUAUCGGAGAGGCAGGCGGAAUUCCUAGUGUAGCGGUGAAAUGCGUAGAUAUUAGGAGGAACACCAGUGGCGAAGGCGGCCUGCUGGACGACAACUGACGCUGAGGCGCGAAAGCGUGGGGAGCAAACAGGAUUAGAUACCCUGGUAGUCCACGCUGUAAACGAUGAAUACUAGGUGUGGGGGGGACUAACCCCCUCCGUGCCGCAGUUAACACAAUAAGUAUUCCACCUGGGGAGUACGGCCGCAAGGUUGAA